UUCAUUUCAGGGAAAUCCAGCCUCUUGAGUAAUGACAUGCCCAGAACUCGAGAAUAGAAGUCGAGACUGGCUUUAGGAUCCUUAAUCCGAAACAUAGUCUGUUGCAUGAGGUAACCUUUAGUAGCAUCAUCGGGGGUAGAAUGAAGUCCUGGAUUGUUGGCUGGAGAGUCUUUGGAAGACGAAGCCAUGGAGAAGGGCCGGAAUCGAUUCAAUUUCUUUUUCAGAGAUCACUCCCG
This 236-nucleotide unclassified non-coding RNA is filed under the name Hevea brasiliensis (rubber tree). The record is from RNAcentral. Lineage: Eukaryota; Viridiplantae; Streptophyta; Magnoliopsida; Malpighiales; Euphorbiaceae.